AACGUAGGAGGCGAGCGUUAUCCGGAUUUACUGGGCGUAAAGCGCACGCAGGUGGCUGUGUAAGUCGGACAUGAAAGCUCCUGGCUUAACUAGGGGAGGUGGUUCGAAACUGCAUGGCUUGAGGUUGGGAGAGGGACGUGGAAUUCCCGGUGUAGUGGUGGAAUGCGUAGAUAUCGGGAGGAACACCAGUGGCGCAAGCGGCGUCCUGGCCCACACCUGACGCUGAGGUGCGAAAGCGUGGGGAGCAAACAGG
This 253-nucleotide ribosomal RNA is filed under the name uncultured bacterium. RNAcentral's name for it is "partial 16S ribosomal RNA". It matches the Rfam family "Bacterial small subunit ribosomal RNA", at positions 524 to 776 of the family's 1533-position model. The record is from RNAcentral.